UAAGCAAGGUGUGAAAUCGUACGGCUCAACCGUAUACACAUACUUUGAACUGGUAAGCUAGAGUAUAUGAGAGGUCACUGGAAUUUCUAGUGUAGGAGUGAAAUCCGUAGAUAUUAGAAGGAACGCCGAUGGCGUAGGCAGGUGACUGGCAUAUUACUGACGCUAAGGCACGAAAGCGUGGGGAGCGAACGGGAUUAGAUACCCCGGUAGUCCACGCCGUAAACUAUGGAUGCUA
RNAcentral lists this ribosomal RNA (235 nucleotides) under uncultured Candidatus Saccharibacteria bacterium. RNAcentral describes it as "partial 16S ribosomal RNA". It matches the Rfam family "Bacterial small subunit ribosomal RNA", at positions 584 to 818 of the family's 1533-position model. Lineage: Bacteria; Candidatus Saccharimonadota. The record is from RNAcentral.